UAACUAUCAAACAACAUAAAAAGAAAAGUAAAAAGAAAAAAAUAUACCUGAAAUAACACUCAACUUCUUACAGAUAAAACUAUAGCUAAACUCACUCAAAUCCACACUUAACAUCUUUUAUGUGUUUAAACGGUUGUCUGUACGUUCGGCACUGUCCCAACUACUUUGGAAUUCUGUACAUUUGUCUAUUCAAUAUAUAUCUAUCGUAAAGUAAAAAAAGAAAAAA
This 226-nucleotide long non-coding RNA is filed under the name Vigna radiata. RNAcentral's name for it is "long non-coding RNA (VRAD_LNC003715)". The record is from RNAcentral. Lineage: Eukaryota; Viridiplantae; Streptophyta; Magnoliopsida; Fabales; Fabaceae.